Molecule: ribosomal RNA, 253 nt
Filed under: uncultured bacterium
Lineage: Bacteria
Description: partial 16S ribosomal RNA
Rfam family: Bacterial small subunit ribosomal RNA
Source: RNAcentral
UACAGAGGGUGCAAGCGUUAAUCGGAAUUACUGGGCGUAAAGCGUGCGUAGUCGGUUAUUUAAGUCGGGCGUGAAAGCCCCGGGCUCAACCUGGGAAUUGCGUUCGAUACUGGAUAGCUAGAGUUCGGCAGAGGGAAGCGGAAUUUCGGGUGUAGCGGUGAAAUGCGUAGAUAUCGGGAGGAACACCAGUGGCGAAGGCGGCACUCUGGGCCAGUACUGACACUGAGGAGCGAAAGCCAGGGGAGCAAACGGG